RNAcentral lists this ribosomal RNA (922 nucleotides) under Pseudomonas sp. RNAcentral describes it as "bacterial SSU rRNA". It matches the Rfam family "Bacterial small subunit ribosomal RNA", at positions 85 to 1001 of the family's 1533-position model. The record is from RNAcentral. Lineage: Bacteria; Pseudomonadati; Pseudomonadota; Gammaproteobacteria; Pseudomonadales; Pseudomonadaceae.
CUGUGAUUCAGCGGCGGACGGGUGAGUAAUGCCUAGGAAUCUGCCUGGUAGUGGGGGACAACGUUUCGAAAGGAACGCUAAUACCGCAUACGUCCUACGGGAGAAAGCAGGGGACCUUCGGGCCUUGCGCUAUCAGAUGAGCCUAGGUCGGAUUAGCUAGUUGGUGAGGUAAUGGCUCACCAAGGCGACGAUCCGUAACUGGUCUGAGAGGAUGAUCAGUCACACUGGAACUGAGACACGGUCCAGACUCCUACGGGAGGCAGCAGUGGGGAAUAUUGGACAAUGGGCGAAAGCCUGAUCCAGCCAUGCCGCGUGUGUGAAGAAGGUCUUCGGAUUGUAAAGCACUUUAAGUUGGGAGGAAGGGUUGUAGAUUAAUACUCUGCAAUUUUGACGUUACCGACAGAAUAAGCACCGGCUAACUCUGUGCCAGCAGCCGCGGUAAUACAGAGGGUGCAAGCGUUAAUCGGAAUUACUGGGCGUAAAGCGCGCGUAGGUGGUUUGUUAAGUUGGAUGUGAAAUCCCCGGGCUCAACCUGGGAACUGCAUCCAAAACUGGCAAGCUAGAGUAUGGUAGAGGGUGGGUGGAAUUUCCUGUGUAGCGGUGAAAUGCGUAGAUAUAGGAAGGAACACCAGUGGCGAAGGCGACCACCUGGACUGAUACUGACACUGAGGUGCGAAAGCGUGGGGAGCAAACAGGAUUAGAUACCCUGGUAGUCCACGCCGUAAACGAUGUCAACUAGCCGUUGGGAGCCUUGAGCUCUUAGUGGCGCAGCUAACGCAUUAAGUUGACCGCCUGGGGAGUACGGCCGCAAGGUUAAAACUCAAAUGAAUUGACGGGGGCCCGCACAAGCGGUGGAAGCAUGUGGUUUAAUUCGAAGCAACGCGAAGAACCUUACCAGGCCUUGACAUCCAUGACUUCCCAG